This 410-nucleotide unclassified non-coding RNA is filed under the name Hevea brasiliensis (rubber tree). The record is from RNAcentral. Lineage: Eukaryota; Viridiplantae; Streptophyta; Magnoliopsida; Malpighiales; Euphorbiaceae.
CAGGAAGCUUCUUAUUAUCAGGGUGCAAUGGUUUCCUUGCUGUAGAAGGUGAAUUCAGCUGUGAAUUCUUCAUAGCGAUAGGGGAGCUCAAAUUAUUCACGUUCGUUGAAGUGUUCACACCAGCGCGUUUUUCAGUUGCCAAAGCAAAUGGCUGUGGGACAGUAUGAUGCCCCCAUGCAUUUCUGGUUCCACCAGAUUUCGAAGCAGGGAAGCUGAAAUUUUUAUCCUCGCUUGACUUCUCAGCACCAGGUUUUUCAUUUUUAGCCUCAGAUUGGUCAGUAUCAAAAUUUGUGCUUUUGACACCAAGAACGUCUUGUUUCUCGUUAUGGUUCUUAACAACUGAAUCUUCAGCACCGCAUUCCUUCUCCUUAUAGUCCUUUGCUUCAACACUAUGUCCUGAAGUUUUAGGA